Molecule: ribosomal RNA, 440 nt
Filed under: uncultured bacterium
Lineage: Bacteria
Description: partial 16S ribosomal RNA
Rfam family: Bacterial small subunit ribosomal RNA
Source: RNAcentral
CCUACGGGUGGCAGCAGUGGGGAAUAUUGCACAAUGGGCGAAACCCUGAUGCAGCAACGCCGCGUGGGUGAAGAAGUACUUCGGUUUGUAAAGCCCUGUCAGCAGGGAAGAAAAUGACGGUACGUGACCAAGAAGCCCCGGCUAACUACGUGCCAGCAGCCGCGGUAAUACGUAGGGGGCAAGCGUUAUCCGGAUUUACUGGGGGGAAAGGGAGCGUAGGUGGGUGGGCAAGUCUGGAGUGAAGGCCCUAGGCCUAACCCCGGGAGUGCAUUGGAAACUGGGUGGCUGGAGUGCAGGAGGGGUGAGUGGAAUUCCUAGUGUAGCGGUGAAAUGCGUAGAUAUUAGGAGGAACACCAGUGGCGAAGGCGGCUUACUGGACUGUAACUGACGCUGAGGCUCGAAGGCGUGGGGAGCAAACAGGAUUAGAUACCCGUGUAGUC